Molecule: ribosomal RNA, 447 nt
Filed under: uncultured organism
Description: partial 16S ribosomal RNA
Rfam family: Bacterial small subunit ribosomal RNA
Source: RNAcentral
CACUCCUACGGGAGGCAGCAGUGGGGAAUAUUGGACAAUGGGCGCAAGCCUGAUCCAGCCAUGCCGCGUGAGUGAUGAAGGCCCUAGGGUUGUAAAGCUCUUUCACCGGUGAAGAUAAUGACGGUAACCGGAGAAGAAGCCCCGGCUAACUUCGUGCCAGCAGCCGCGGUAAUACGAAGGGGGCUAGCGUUGUUCGGAUUUACUGGGCGUAAAGCGCACGUAGGCGGACUAUUAAGUCAGGGGUGAAAUCCCGGGGCUCAACCCCGGAACUGCCUUUGAUACUGGUAGUCUUGAGUUCGAGAGAGGUGAGUGGAAUUCCGAGUGUAGAGGUGAAAUUCGUAGAUAUUCGGAGGAACACCAGUGGCGAAGGCGGCUCACUGGCUCGAUACUGACGCUGAGGUGCGAAAGCGUGGGGAGCAAACAGGAUUAGAAACCCUGGUAGUCCCA